Molecule: ribosomal RNA, 655 nt
Filed under: uncultured marine eukaryote
Lineage: Eukaryota
Description: SSU rRNA
Rfam family: Eukaryotic small subunit ribosomal RNA
Source: RNAcentral
GGUUAAAAAGCUCGUAGUUGGAUCUUGGAGCGUGUGCUUGCGGUCACACCUAUGGUGUGCACUGCUUGACGUGUUCUUCUAUUUGGUUGCGCGUGUGUGUUCUCUUAGUUGAGUGCCGCACUCGACCGAAACGUUUACCUUGAAAAAAUUAGAGUGUUCAAAGCAGACCUGUUUGUGUCUGAAUAUUCGUGCAUGGAAUAAUGAAAUAUGAAUUCGGUUCUAUUUUGUUGGUUUUCGGAACUCGAGUUAAUGAUUAAGAGGGACAGACGGGGGUAUUAGUACUCUGCCGUUAGAGGUGAAAUUCUUGGAUCGGCGGAAGACUCGCAACUGCGAAAGCAUUUGCCAAGAAUGUUUUCUUUAAUCAAGAACGAUAGUCGGAGGUUCGAAGACGAUCAGAUACCGUCCUAGUUUCGACUGUAAACUAUGCCAGCUAACGAUCAGACAGCGUUCUCUACGACUUGUCUGGCAGUUUCCGGGAAACCAAAGCUUUUGGGUUCCGGGGGAAGUAUGGUUGCAAAGCUGAAACUUAAAGGAAUUGACGGAAGGGCACCACCAGGAGUGGAGCCUGCGGCUUAAUUUGACUCAACACGGGGAAACUCACCCGGCCCGGACACAGUGAGGAUUGACAGAUUGAGAGUUCUUUCUUGAUUCUGUG